RNAcentral lists this transfer RNA (72 nucleotides) under Camelus bactrianus (Bactrian camel). It matches the Rfam family "tRNA". From Rfam's summary of the family: Transfer RNA (tRNA) molecules are approximately 80 nucleotides in length. Their secondary structure includes four short double-helical elements and three loops (D, anti-codon, and T loops). Further hydrogen bonds mediate the characteristic L-shaped molecular structure. tRNAs have two regions of fundamental functional importance: the anti-codon, which is responsible for specific mRNA codon recognition, and the 3' end, to which the tRNAs corresponding amino acid is attached (by aminoacyl-tRNA synthetases). tRNAs cope with the degeneracy of the genetic code in two manners: having more than one tRNA (with a specific anti-codon) for a particular amino acid; and 'wobble' base-pairing, i.e. permitting non-standard base-pairing at the 3rd anti-codon position. Lineage: Eukaryota; Metazoa; Chordata; Mammalia; Artiodactyla; Camelidae. The record is from Rfam by way of RNAcentral. RNAcentral also lists the same sequence under 3 other names.
GAGGGUAUAGCUCAGUGGUAGAGCUCAUGCUUAGCAUGCAGGAGGUCCUGGGUUCAACCCCAAGUACCUCCA